The submitters of this non-coding RNA (91 nucleotides) gave its source as unclassified sequences. The record is from Rfam.
CGAUCGGGAGGCCUCUGGUGGGACAGGGGCCGGGAAUGGAUCGCCCCGCCCUCUCGGAUGGCCGCGGCGCUGAUGCCCGACAGCGCCCGUG